Long non-coding RNA from Paramacrobiotus metropolitanus, 2579 nucleotides. RefSeq lists it as uncharacterized. The transcript has 3 exons. NCBI's taxonomy places the organism in Eukaryota, Metazoa, Tardigrada, Eutardigrada, Parachela, Macrobiotidae. The record is from RefSeq and is a predicted model, not a curated record.
AAAGCAUACAUUCGCAAUCCGCGGCUGUACGUCAAACGCUUCGUGCCCAAUCCGGCAUAUUUGUCUGCGCUUACUGCCCAAUUAUCAACAAAAACUGUGAAAUACCCUAUUGAGCGAGUGUGUAUGCGUGUUAAUGAUAUUGGAACGAUUCAGAGCACGGUGCUGGCUAAUUUACAUAUUGGAGCAGUACCCAAAUGUGUUUUUGUGGGAUUUGUGAAAAGCUCGAGUUUUCACGGGCUGCGCCGAGGUAAUCCAUUUAACUUUGAACAUUUCAACCUCAACUAUAUAAGUGUCGAAGUCGACGGACAAUCGUACCCCGCACAAGCCUACCGACCAAAUUUCGCCACGGGUGAUUAUUUGCAAUCAUAUGACGGUCUGUUGGAGACGCUUGGCCGCUUGCACGCACCGGACGAGGCGCUGCCUUUCGACCGUAAAGCAUUUGCGGAAGGAUUUGCUAUUUGGGGAUUCGAUCUGACACCUUCACGGACAGGCCGGGGACCGAUGAGCACCGUGCGCCAGGGAAAUCUAUCAAUCCGCCUGCAGUUCGCCGCCCAAUUAACUGAACCAAUUAUGGCCAUUACGAUGAUGGUGUGGGAUAAUAUUAUUGAAGUCAAUUCACAUCGCCAGCUCAUUGCGGAUUUUACGGCGUAAAAACCUAACAUUGGCACUACAAUGGACACUGCUGAGAUUGAUUACGUGCUACGUUCAAGUACCGUGACGAGAGACGCUUUCAUUGGUGUAUUCGCUGCGGAUAUGCUACCAUCGUCGCUGCCAGCCAAGCUACCAUGGGCAUGCGUUGUCAAUACUGACGAAGCUGCGAAACCUGGCUCGCAUUGGCUGGCGUUCUACCAGGCUACACCAGGACAGCUGGAAUAUUUUGACUCUUACGGUCAUGAACCGCAUUACUACGGUCACCACAUUGAAACUUUUUGCAAGAACGCGGGCAUAGUUAUUUCACAAGCGCAUCGUUUACAAAUGGAAUGGAGUACCGUUUGUGGACAGUACUGCUGCUUUUUUAUUCUAAAACGAUGCUCCGGCGAGUCAUUCACUUCUCUUAUUCAUUUAUUUACCAAUAGCAAAGCUUCGAAUGAUCGAAUGGUUUGUGCUUAUGUUAAUUAUUAUUUUAAUUUAAAAACUGUUGUCCGUGAUAACUCUUUGCUUAUUCAGUCUGUUUUCCGCCAGAUAAUGCAAUAAAGUCACGUCAUCAACGCCAGAUUUUUCACGUACUGUUUGUAUAUGAUUAAAAAUAAUUUGUUGUGCACCAAAAUAUUUUGCGGUCCAGCGUGACUUCGCGCUGCAUCUGUUUUGAUGCACAUAAAAUACCCCAGUCAGUGGACAAUUUUCAGAUGCAACACAGUUUUCAUCUCAUUACGCAGCGGAAAUUAACGAUUUCUAAAGCUGUUCUGUUCAAAAAUGGUUUACCAUAUUGUUGUAGACAUUAAGUGGUAUGCGCUUAAUGGGAAGCCAAUUAUUACGUCACUUGCAAUAAGUUCUGUCGAAUUUUAUUGCCUUUAUUAUACCACAUUUGCGCUAGCGCCAAGCAAUUACAUUGUAAAUAAAUAUGGCGUUUGUUCUUCGGAUAUUGAUGCUGUGUUCGAUAAAGCUUUCAGAGUUAGAACAGCAGAUAAGUCGAGCGUUUAAAAAUUAUCUUCGCUACGUUGACGAUCCUGCCGAUGUCGUUUUCUAUGCAAAAGGGGGGCAAAAGUGUCUUAUUCUUCAAGAACUGAUUAAAUCUGAUGUCAUUAAUCUUGAUACACUGGGCUGUCCGCGUUUUGCCGAUCUAUGCAACGACAAGUGUUACAGUCCUAAUAAAGCUCAAGCUUACUCUAACUGGAUGCUGGACACCAUUUAAAAAGUCGUACGAAAUGCCUGCUUUGCCGUAUGCCGAUUCCAGAAGAAAAGGUCACGUUCGACAGCAACGACGCUGCCGCAGAUCAAGACCAGAUAAGAAUUCUUACUGGGAUGACCGAGGUAACAGACGCUGCAUCCGCUGUGGUGCUGUAUUUCCCACCGAUACCGAUUGCAGUGAAGAAAGUACUCACGCGGAUAUUAGCACGCCAAGAAUUUCUAGUGCAUGAAUCAGUGUAAACUGCUUAACUAACUGUACCCCGUUACAAAAUGCUGUGCGGGAAUUUGUUCUCGUUCAAGUCAGUUAUAUAAAGUGGCAUCUUUGUCGCUAGCAACUUUCUUUGGCCAUAUUUUGCCUUCAUCAUGGCGCAAACCCUGACUUAUCCGCAGAAUUGUUUGACCCCGGCACCAGUGCUGAAACUGACUUUGCUGAUAGUGCUCUUUUCAAUCAUAAUUAUGCGCUUCUCGAUCACAAUUAUUUUAUACCUCCGGCUCCGGUCGAUGUGCCAGUACAGAACCUAGAAGAACUUGAUCCGGAUUUGUAUGAUAUUAAAGAUUAUUAUGAGUUGGAAAAAACGGGAGCUAAAUAUUCACAGAAAUUUUCAGUGUCGUUUGAAACCUAUAAAUGUGUGAUACACGGUCUGGAUAAUUUUUCAUUUAAAUACGCGAUUAAAACCAUAACACUUUUAUUGAAAGACAUUCUGGAUACCGUGAUUUCGGCAAUUCCAGCC